GAUGAACGCUGGCGACGUGCCUAAUACAUGCAAGUCGAGCGAACAGAUGAGGAGCUUGCUCCUCUGACGUUAGCGGCGGACGGGUGAGUAACACGUGGAUAACCUACCUAUAAGACUGGGAUAACUUCGGGAAACCGGAGCUAAUACCGGAUAAUAUAUUGAACCGCAUGGUUCAAUAGUGAAAGACGGUUUUGCUGUCACUUAUAGAUGGAUCCGCGCCGCAUUAGCUUGUUGGUAAGGUAACGGCUUACCAAGGCAACGAUGCGUAGCCGACCUGAGAGGGUGAUCGGCCACACUGGAACUGAGACACGGUCCAGACUCCUACGGGAGGCAGCAGUAGGGAAUCUUCCGCAAUGGGCGAAAGCCUGACGGAGCAACGCCGCGUGAGUGAUGAAGGUCUUCGGAUCGUAAAACUCUGUUAUUAGGGAAGAACAAAUGUGUAAGUAACUAUGCACGUCUUGACGGUACCUAAUCAGAAAGCCACGGCUAACUACGUG
This 497-nucleotide ribosomal RNA is filed under the name uncultured bacterium. RNAcentral's name for it is "partial 16S ribosomal RNA". It matches the Rfam family "Bacterial small subunit ribosomal RNA", at positions 28 to 507 of the family's 1533-position model. The record is from RNAcentral.